Long non-coding RNA from Homo sapiens (human), 3752 nucleotides. RefSeq lists it as uncharacterized. The record is from RefSeq and is a predicted model, not a curated record. NCBI's taxonomy places the organism in Eukaryota, Metazoa, Chordata, Mammalia, Primates, Hominidae. The transcript has 3 exons.
GGGAAGGCCGAGCAUCCAGAGGCCAGUGGAAAAACCAUCUUGCCACGGAGUCUGUUUCCUCCUGAACUGGAAACGGAUUUCAGCAUGGCGAGCAAGGGGGGUGUCUCAACCCUGUCUGUCAUGGCUCUUUCAGCCCUGCCAUUUGGGCCCCACAUUCUUGUUCCACACCAGGAAGAAUGAGAACUGGCAGCCCUGGCCUGAAGAUGAGGCUUCACUGGGACCCCCCGCUUUCCACCCAGGAGCCCAUCUGCCCCCUGCCACCAUUAACCUGCUCUCCACGGUGCCCACGGUGCCCAGACUGUUUGUGCUGAAGGCUGCCUGCAGGCCCACACUGACCUGCCCUUAGUGUCCCUCAGCCUCCCUCCCAUGCUUGUCAGCGCCCAAAGUCUGAAGGGGGGCCAGGGCAGCAGAGGCUGGUGUGUCAGUGCUGCCCCAAGGGUGAGUACACCCAGGCGGGCUGUGACAGUGCCUGGGCUCAGCCUCAACUUUGCCCUGAAAUCAGAGCAGGCACUGGGAGCAGGGAGAGGCCAGGCAGCGGGGGCAGGGGCUUCCUGGACCUCCGAGAGUGCAGAGAUGCCUGGGUCUGCAGCCACAGCUGGGCCCCCACCCUGUCAACUCAGAAGUGGGUGGAGCUUCCACCUGUUCCCAGCUCCCACCAGCUCCACAGAGCGCACAGCCCCGGCUACACCUCCCCGACGGCAGCCAGCAUCAUGGCAGCCCAUUCCAGACAGGCCGCCGCUGCUAUCACCUUCACCGUUGGGUGAUCCAGUCUGGUUACAUGCUGGCCUCUCCCUCCCCCUGCCUUCGACACAAUCAAGGGAACAGAUCAUGGAAAAAAUGCAGAAGGAGCCUGAGUGGACACUGGACGUGUGGGUUUGAGUCUAAUUUUUGAGCAGAUGAAGAAAGGCCCCUCCUUUUCUUUGAAAAUUGAAGCUGGAAUAACACAGAGUAUCCAACAGCAGAUCCGUGUGGAGGGCCAGCUGUGAGCAAAUUUCAGUGUGGACACAGCACAGUGCAGGCACAGCCCUAAAGGAGGGUACCACGCAGCGGGGGUGAAUGGGGGGCCCCGGAGCACAAAGCGGAGGGUGGUUUUGGGAGGCUGGAGUUGCUGUUUUGUGUGCACGCACCCCCUUCCCCCACUCCCUGUGUCUUCCACCUCAGACUGUCCCCCACUCCCUUCCCUGGGUGACCCUCAGAGCUGCUCAUCCUGGGGAGCAGGUAAAGUCAGCACCUUGGAUAGCUCUGUCACACAGAGGAGGCCAGGCCUUGAGCAAGGCCCCCUGGCUUCAGCUCCUAACAGCUUCCACUCCUACAAGCGUGCAGCUUCGGGUCAGAGCCCCGCGACCCCACAGCCCACCCAGAAGACGUCCUCGUGGCACGGCUGUCCCAUUGCACUUUGCCAAGUGUUGGCUGGAAGGUGGUGGGAGAGGAGUGACAGUUUGAUGAAGAAUGAAUGAAUUAAUUAAUUAAGGCACAGGGUAAUAGAGGCUGGCCAGGCCCGGUCCCCGUUCCUUAUUUCCUAAUGCAGAUAAAUUCCAGUAAUUUCUGUGGGGUGAGAAAUGGGCAUCAGAAAUAAUGGUUUUACUAUCAAAAAUUGAAACAUAGUGCCUGUGUGUAUCUGAAACAAUACUCGUUGUUCAGAUGUCUCUGGGGCAAGAACAGCUCGAUGCCGAGGGAGGAGGCUUUUUCGAUUCCCGCACUGCGAGGUACUCAGCAGCGAUGAAGCCCCCAGGGCUGGGCCACAGCUGUGCCAUCACACCCCCGGCCCCGGGGCUGACCCUUUGCUGACGUCAGCUCACCAGUGCCAGCUCAGCUUCCCUGCAAUGCCCUUGAUAUUUACAAGGUAGAUGCUAGAAGCCCGGGAUGCUUUGCUGUUGGGAGGGAAACGCCUGCCAGACGGAGUAAACCAGCUGCUCCGGAAUUCUCACCAGCACUGGGAGGGUUGGUGUUGCUGCUCAGCACGGGGGCUCAGAAGCCCUCCCCACGCCCCCAUUAUCCUCAGCUUCCCCAGGCUCCAUCCAGCAGGAGGGAGCAGACGGUGGGCCCUGCCUCCUGGCCUUGAGACCAGAAGACGGCCCAGGGUUUGAAGCAGGUGAAAGUCUGAGCUACUUCUGCAAGUGCAGCCUUUGUUCCAAGGAAGCAGGGCUGCCCCGCACCCCGGUGUGCAGGGGGGCAGCUGGCUUUUCCCGUCUGCAGAGCUCCGUCUCCCCAGGAGGGGCGUCCUGUCUCGGGCCAGCAUGACCGCCGUCUCCCUGCUGCUGAAGGGGAGGGCCCCCUUUCUGUGGGCCUUGGCCUCUGUCUGUCAAAUGACGGUAAGACGCAAUCGGGGUGCAUGAGCUAUGGUCCAGAGAAUGGCAUGGGAGGGAGCUGGCUCACCUGCCCCCCAGGCUGGCUUAGGGUCAUGGUUCACCCGUCCACUCUGCACCCUGUGAAUGAUUCAAGUCAAGGCCGUGCCUUCAAAGAGCUCACGGCCUCAUGAAAUGUGACCCACAGAGGCACGUGCAGGUUGCUAUGGAAACACACACAGGCUAUUCGGGGUGGGGGAUGGGCCCGGAGGGUCUCGCCGGGGAUGAAGUGUUGAAAGAUGAAUGAGUUUUCCUCUCAGAGCCGGGGAGGUGGCGGUGCGGUGGGAGGCGUGUGCUCCGGAAGCUGGAGGAGACCCCACACUCCAGAUGCAUCAACCUGCCGCCCCGCAAAGCUCGUUUAUUUAGAAACGUCUCGGCAAAGCCAACCGUGGGAUGGAAGCCUUUCCCUCUUCUCCCUGAUCUGGAUGUGCAGAGGCGAAGCCACUACCGUGACUGGCUGCUGAUGCUCCCUCCGGACGCACCCGUCCCUGGUGCAGCUCCGAGCUGGAGGGGCCUGGGUGCCCCCGGCUGUCACCCCAGACCAAGGGCCAAAGAACUGAGCUCCCCAGAUGAGCCAAAUGGGGGCUCCCUCUGUCCCCACCCCCCAAGGAGGGAUGGCGGGGGAACCCAGGUCCUCGGCCCCGGUGGUCGCCCGGGGGCUCUGCGGUGGGUCCACCAGCUCCCCUGCUGUGUCUACACCCAGAGCCUUUAUUUCUCCCAGGCAAAGCCACUCGCCAGCCCACCCAGGUCGGGGAGGUCCACGGCGAGGGGCUUUCCCCUGGUGGAGCUCCUCAGCGGCCCUUCUACCAGAGUGGCUGGGGGCAGAGCUGUGCCCCUGGCAUCCCCAGGUUGAGGUGUCCUCAGAGCAGGCGCCUGACAGCCUGUAGACCGUGACCCUGGGGGCUGCACGGAGAGGGGUCUCCCAGAGGCCUUGGCACCGAGCCCAGGCAGGGGCACCCUGGAUGUGAGCUGCUGAUGCACCUGCCACAGGCACUUUGUUUGCUUGGCCUCUGAACUGUGAGUCAAGGGUGAAAACAGGAACCUCUCUUCCAGGGAAACUGUCCUGAGGGGUCCAGGCUGUGUGGCCUCUGCCCAGACUGCUGACCCAAGCUGGUGCCGACGAGCCUGCAAAGGCCAGCAGCUCCCAUGCAGGCCCUUGUGUACUUUCAGGGUGGGGAACCGCACCUCAUACCUCCGCUCCUGGGCUCCCCCCGACCUCAACACCCCCACUCUGGUGUGGGAAAGCAGUGAGGAGGGAGGGGCAUCCCCGGGCACCCCCGGCUUCCUCUGCAGCAGGGACUGGGCAGCCGUCAUGGGAAGUUCCCUUUGUCUGGCUGCUUUGAACUCUUUUCCAAGGAAAACCUAUUCGUGUUUUACCCACGGAAUUAAAAAAUCAUUAAAAGAAAA